This 246-nucleotide long non-coding RNA is filed under the name Lathyrus oleraceus (garden pea). Its description in RNAcentral is "Pisum sativum (pea) long non-coding RNA (PSAT_LNC006137)". Lineage: Eukaryota; Viridiplantae; Streptophyta; Magnoliopsida; Fabales; Fabaceae. The record is from RNAcentral.
UUUAUUUAAUUGGUUGGAAUAAAAUAGAAGAGUAAAAAUAGUAGGGAGAAAAAGAAGAAUAUUAUCAGUAUUAGAGCCAAGAGGGGUAUGAUGGUAAAUAAGAUGAUAAAUGAGGGCAAUGAUGGAAGUUCCUAAUUGAGGGUCGAUUAGGUUAAUGAUAAAAAGGUUAGUAAGAGAGUUUGAGGGGUUUUACGUAAAAUAGAAUUUUAUGUUGAGAAGAGGCAAGGGUUAGGGCUAAAGGAAAAC